GACGAAGGGGGCUAGCGUUGUUCGGAAUUACUGGGCGUAAAGCGAGUGUAGGUGGUUGUCGUAGUCAGGUGUGAAAGCCUUGAGCUCAACUCAAGAAAUGCACUUGAUACUCGGCGGCUAGAGGACCGGAGAGGAUAGUGGAAUUCCCAGUGUAGUGGUGAAAUACGUAGAGAUUGGGAAGAACACCAGUGGCGAAGGCGGCUAUCUGGGACGGUAUUGACGCUGAGACGCGAAAGCGUGGGGAGCGAACAGG
Molecule: ribosomal RNA, 253 nt
Filed under: uncultured bacterium
Lineage: Bacteria
Description: partial 16S ribosomal RNA
Rfam family: Bacterial small subunit ribosomal RNA
Source: RNAcentral